This 497-nucleotide ribosomal RNA is filed under the name uncultured bacterium. RNAcentral's name for it is "partial 16S ribosomal RNA". It matches the Rfam family "Bacterial small subunit ribosomal RNA", at positions 28 to 507 of the family's 1533-position model. The record is from RNAcentral.
GAUGAACGCUGGCGGCGUGCCUAAUACAUGCAAGUCGAGCGAACAGACGAGGAGCUUGCUCCUCUGACGUUAGCGGCGGACGGGUGAGUAACACGUGGAUAACCUACCUAUAAGACUGGGAUAACUUCGGGAAACCGGAGCUAAUACCGGAUAAUAUAUUGAACCGCAUGGUUCAAUAGUGAAAGACGGUUUUGCUGUCACUUAUAGAUGGAUCCGCGCCGCAUUAGCUAGUUGGUAAGGUAACGGCUUACCAAGGCGACGAUGCGUAGCCGACCUGAGAGGGUCAUCGGCCACACUGGAACUGAGACACGGUCCAGACUCCUACGGGAGGCAGCAGUAGGGAAUCUUCCGCAAUGGGGGAAAGCCUGACGGAGCAACGCCGCGUGAGUGAUGAAGGUCUUCGGAUCGUAAAACUCUGUUAUUAGGGAAGAACAAAUGUGUAAGUAACUAUGCACGUCUUGACGGUACCUAAUCAGAAAGCCACGGCUAACUACGUG